Long non-coding RNA from Prinia subflava (tawny-flanked prinia), 1291 nucleotides. RefSeq lists it as uncharacterized. The transcript is spliced from 3 exons. The record is from RefSeq and is a predicted model, not a curated record. Lineage: Eukaryota; Metazoa; Chordata; Aves; Passeriformes; Cisticolidae.
CCGGGAGGCGCUUCCGCGGCGGCGCCUACACUCAAACUUUCCUGGCCAAACUUUGUGGCCGGGCGGGCCGGGGAGGGGCCCCGGGGCAGGGGACACCCCCGGCCCCAGCGGGAGGGUCCCCGCGGGACAGAUAUGCCUUUGCUUACAUUUCUUCACGGAAGUCCUUGAAGAAAUAGCUCUGGUGGGGUAAGCACAGAGGAGUUCUGACUUUCCAAAGCUGUGCUCAGAUGACUUCUGUCUGUCUCCUCUGGGCAUUUUGCUGCAGUCCUGUGUUCGUAGGUCUACCCCAGCAGACAGGUCUCAAGUCAUCUCGCACGCUGUUGAGACAGCACACAGGGAUCUCUUCCCCAACCAGCACAGCGCUCCCAGCUUCGGCAGGAAGCCGAAUAACGCCCACCAGCUGAAAUCAAGUGUUUCAGGGCAGAGGGCAGAGAACUGCGUGCUGCUCAGACUUCCAAGGGGGGUUAACUAGAAGAGUAUAAUUACCUGUCCAAAGCUUAGAUGUUCUUUGAGAAGUGCUCCAGGAUCUACAACAGCUGUAGGCAGCCAAGACCUGUGUGCAGGAGUGUUCCCUUGGAUUUUCAAUCCAGGUGCUAAACUGUCCUGCUCCUGCUUAGUUUGGGUUGUGUGAAUGCAUAUAACCUCACCGUGGUGCUAUAAAUUUUCUCUGGUUUAUCUCACUUAAGGGUUUCCCUAGUCACAGUUCAUUAUAGGAGCUAGCAGCUCAGAGAAAGCCUAGGGAGAAAAGAUUUUUCUGUUAAAACCAGCCAUGGAUCCACUUUAAAGUCCUAGUGAGUCAAGACUAUCCCUUACACCUGUAGCUUGUCUGGCCUCCUAGUAGAAAUAAAAGGAGAGGAAGGAGAAUGUGAAGUAGAAUAUGGCAGUUUUUUGUUGUUUCAGGGGAGUUGAGCAUAUUUCCCCUUUUAAACAACCUGGCUGGGAUGUGAUCCUUUGUUAACCAUAUGCCUUAACAAAAAACCCAGAAAAACGCCCCAAAAAACCCCAAACAAACAACAACAAAAAGCAACGUCAUAUUUAAAUUACAGAUCUAUUAGUCCCUGAUGGCCAGUGAGAUUUUAGAGAAAAACAACAUGUCAAUUGAAUUUUAGUUUUGUGAUGUAAUAAACUCAGAAGAUUGUAAUGAAAGUCACUGAAGCUUCUUGUAAGGAUAUACAGAUUAGCCUUCUGGGUGUUGCAGAUUUAAUUUCACUCAGUAAGUACAUGCAGCAAACAUAUUUCUUCAGAUUGAUCUACUCAGGCUGUAUCCAUCAACUAAUUAAACUUAUAUAUA